Long non-coding RNA from Pseudophryne corroboree (corroboree frog), 3257 nucleotides. RefSeq lists it as uncharacterized. The record is from RefSeq and is a predicted model, not a curated record. NCBI's taxonomy places the organism in Eukaryota, Metazoa, Chordata, Amphibia, Anura, Myobatrachidae. The transcript is spliced from 2 exons.
AAUUCUUUAUUAAAUUGUUAGACUACUGUAUCCAGUUUCCCAGCGCUUCUUCUUGUUUACUGGUAACAUAUAUAUAUAUAUAUAUAUAUAUACACAUGUAUAUAUCAUAUGUGUGAGUGUUUAUAUGUAUGCAUGUGUAUAUAUAUGUACUAUAAUUAAGAUAAAGUAAACUUUUACUGCACUUACAAGUGCCACCGGGAAGACAGCAGGCUGCAGAGGACGCUAGACAGCCAUUAAUAAUACUCAUGCAGCUAAACAAAAAAAAAAAAAAUGGUUUUUUUUUUUUUUUUUAGUGGAGGGGGGUUUCUGGGUGCUCGGAAACCCCCCCUGGGUGCGCCACUGACUGUGCAGGCAAGUUAGUUUUGGCUGUCUAACACUAAAGUAUAGUCAAUCGCACAUAGUCAAAAUCGAAGAUAGCCAAAAUCUCACCAUGUGUAUGCACCUUAAGGGGUGCAACAAGUAACAAGGGCCAGGAACCAAUCAUUAGUCUUCAUGUGCAACCAGUUCUGUAGUGUUUUUCUUCUCUCCUUUUUUUCUUCCCCCCCCCCCUCCCUUUUAGGUGCUGUUCCCACUUGUACAGUGAGGCCAACAACUAACAGAAUUGACCCAAUAUGCUGUACAGUAAAAAAUGUAAAUCUGCUGCGCUGCAUCUAGUGCAUUACGUAAAUACAACAUAAGACUGUGUUUUGCUUCUCCCCCCCCCCCCCCCUCCCCACUACUACUCUUGUGCCCCAAAUCAUUUUGUGUGAGAGGCUCAGUCUAAAACAAGGGCCAACGGGGCAUGUUGUUAGCGGGGCCAUGCUGCUGAAUGCAACAAGGACCCCUGUCUUGUAGAUUUGUUUAUGUUGUGUUGGAAGAGGUACUAACUACUCUGACAAAUUGUUUUAAAGGGUUUCAGCUCCCAUUAUAAUUUGUCACACGCCACUCUUCAGAGACCCCUUUUAAUGAUACGGAUUUAUUAUUUAUUCUCGCCGUUGCUUGCAGUAAUGGGCACAAGAUCGGCAUGUUCUGACUCAGCCUGCCUUGCAGUUCCCAACAGACAUAGCAAUCGUUUCAUUGUUUGUAGGAUCUGAAUCUCCAGUGGGCUACCUGCUUCACUAAAAUCUACUAUUGUUUAACCACAAGUUAGGACUUGACUUUACCGUAAUUUAUUCAGUGAUAAGAAUUCUGUAUCUUUAAAAUGACCUCUACUUUCCUCUACACUGCCAUGUUUAGCACUGUUUCUCAUAGUGACUGUAGGAGGAGACCCUUGCUCUUCCGGUGUGUUAGACUGAUUGAAUCCAGCACAAGGUGCCAUAGUGCUGGGAAAACACAAACUCAGCAGCAAUAUUGUUUACACCUCUGGAGUGUGAGCUAAAACAGGCAAGAUUUCCCUUCCUGGAUAUCCUAUGUUGUCCUGCAUCCCUUAUGUGUAUAGGUGGUCAUUCCGAGUUGAUCGCUCGUUAUAUUUUUUUCGCAACGGAGCGAUUAGUCGCUAAUGCACAUGCGCAAUGUCCGCAGUGCGACUGCGCCAAGUAAAUUUGCUAAGAAGUUUGGUAUUUUACUCACGGCAUUACGAGGUUUUUUCUUCGUUCUGCUGAUCGUAAUGUUUCUGGGCUGAAACUGGCCGUUUUAUGGGAGUGUGUGAAAAAACGCUGCCGUUUCUGGGAAAAACGUGGGAGUGGCUGGAGAAACGGGGGAGUGUCUGGGCGAACGCUGGGUGUGUUUGUGACGUCAAAUAAGGAACGAAACUGACUGAACUGAUCGCAGUGGCAGAGUAAGUCUCGAGCUACUCAGAAACUGCUAAGAACUGUCUAUUCGCAAAUCUGCUAAUCGUUCGUUCGCAAAUCUACUAUGCUAAGAUUCACUCCCAGUAGGUGGCGGCUUAGCGUGUGCAAAGCUGCUAUAAAAGCAGCUUGCGAGCGAACAACUCGGAAUGAGGGCCAUAAUGCGGUCACUGAGCAAUAGCAUGUAUUAACUCGGAGGACCGAGUUUGAGGAUCUCUAUUAACUAUUUGGAAAAUCAGGGGAAAAAACACUAUACCACAGGUUCUCAAACUCGGUCCUCAGGACCCCACACGGUGCAUGUUUUGCAGGUCUCCCCACAGAAUCACAAGUGACAUAAUUAGCUCCACCUGUGGACCUUUUAAAAAGUGUCAGUGAGUAAUUAAUACACCUGUGCACCUGCUGGGUUACCUGCAAAACAUGCACUGUGUGGGGUCCUGAGGACCGAGUUUGAGAACCUAUGCCCUAUACUGUUCAUAUACUGUAGCAACUUAUGAAAGGGUGGAUGGCGGUAUCUAAAUAUUAAUAAUGAUUGUACAGUAGAAUCAUUAAGUAGUAUUACUUGAUAAAGCGAAACAUAAUAUAAUAUAUAAAAAUGAAUUAUAAAGUAAUAAUGCUGAAUGGCUCUUGCCUUUAUGUUGUACUAACCAAUUCUGGAAAAUUUGGCUAAAUAAGCCCAUCAAAUAAAUAAGGCGUAUUAUUCUGUGUAUGUUACAGUUAAGUCAUUUACCACUAUUGUUUAUCAGUGACCGAUUUCACUAAUGAAACACUAUUAGUUAAAUUUGGAAAAGCUGCAAAAUUUGUAAUUUGGUAUAAUUUACUCCAAAUCUUAUUUUAAGACUACUGAAAAUCACAGUGGAUCUAAAAGUUGCACUACCAAAGAUUUGUACAAUUCUCAAGUCACAGGGGCUGCUACUGUACAUGCAAAUCAAGAGAUUGGAACUGGUCCUUCUGCUCACACCCUAACUGUGGACCCUAAUCGGCAUUAUUUGCAGAUUCUGCUAAAAAGCAAAAUCUGCAAAUGCCUGAUUAUAUGCUGGGGGCCGCCCAGCAUGCCAAGUCCCGCCCACUCUCGCUAGAAAUCUGCCUAACUGCAUGUGCGCAGCAGUUACGACUGCUGCUGAAUGAGCUACUAUGUAAGCAGAGAAAGGUAACGUUUAACACCAUAACUGGUUGAUAACGUUAUGCAGGUCAAACUUCAUUAUGUUAUUAAUUAGCAAACCAUUUUACAUUUCAUUUGGAGCUACCAACACAGUUUGGAAAGUUACCUUUGUUAAUGUGGCUAUUUACUUUUAAUGACCACCUGUCACUAACACAACUGAAUCCCUUCCUGCUACUUCAGCACAGCAGUGUGGUCCAGCUGUUCUCUGUUCUAUAUCUUGCCAUGAUAACUAACUAAAGUUAUAGUUGACUGUAAAGAGUUUAUAAAGAUGAUAAAAUGCUUCCAGAACUGUAAAACUUUUUUAAUACAAUAAAGUGUGAAUUUUUCCCAUA